UGCCAGCAGCCGCGGUAAUACGGAGGGAGCUAGCGUUGUUCGGAAUUACUGGGCGUAAAGCGUGCGUAGGCGGAUCGACAAGUUGGGGGUGAAAUCCCGGGGCUUAACCCCGGAACUGCCCUCAAAACUGUCGAUCUAGAGACCGGGAGAGGUUAGUGGAAUUCCGAGUGUAGAGGUGAAAUUCGUAGAUAUUGGGAAGAACACCAGUGGCGAAGGCGGCUUUCUGGUCCGUUACUGACGCUGAGGCGCGAAAGCGUGGGGAGCAAACAGGAUUAGAUA
This 279-nucleotide ribosomal RNA is filed under the name uncultured bacterium. Its description in RNAcentral is "partial 16S ribosomal RNA". It matches the Rfam family "Bacterial small subunit ribosomal RNA", at positions 506 to 784 of the family's 1533-position model. The record is from RNAcentral.